RNAcentral lists this ribosomal RNA (776 nucleotides) under uncultured bacterium. Its description in RNAcentral is "bacterial SSU rRNA". It matches the Rfam family "Bacterial small subunit ribosomal RNA", at positions 8 to 796 of the family's 1533-position model. The record is from RNAcentral.
AGAGUUUGAUCCUGGCUCAGAAUCAACGCUGGCGGCGUGCCUCAGACAUGCAAGUCGAACGAUUAAACUUUCCUUCGGGGAAGAUAUAAAGUGGCGCACGGGUGAGUAACACGUAGGUAAUCUACCUUUGAGUGGGGAAUAACAAUCGGAAACGAUUGCUAAUACCGCAUAAUGCAGCGGCACCGCAAGGUGACAGUUGUUAAAGGAGCAAUCCGCUUAAAGAGGAGCCUGCGGCAGAUUAGCUAGUUGGUAAGGUAAUGGCUUACCAAGGCGACGAUCUGUAACCGACCUGAGAGGGUGGUCGGUCACACUGACACUGAAUAACGGGUCAGACUCCUACGGGAGGCAGCAGUCGGGAAUUUUGGGCAAUGGGCGAAAGCCUGACCCAGCAACGCCGCGUGAAGGAUGAAGUAUUUCGGUAUGUAAACUUCGAAAGAAUGGGAAGAAUCAAUGACGGUACCAUUUAUAAGGUCCGGCUAACUACGUGCCAGCAGCCGCGGUAAUACGUAGGGACCAAGCGUUGUUCGGAUUUACUGGGCGUAAAGGGCGCGUAGGCGGCGUGUUAAGUCAGCUGUGAAAUCUCCGAGCUUAACUCGGAACGGUCAGCUGAUACUGAUGUGCUAGAGUGCAGAAGGGGCAAUCGGAAUUCUUGGUGUAGCGGUGAAAUGCGUAGAUAUCAAGAGGAACACCUGAGGUGAAGACGGGUUGCUGGGCUGACACUGACGCUGAGGCGCGAAAGCUAGGGUAGCAAACGGGAUUAGAUACCCUGGUAGUCC